AUCAAGUUCCCUCACGAGCAGACGUCUGUGCCGAUCCAUUGAUUUUAUUUAUCCAUCCUGCACCAAGGCUGCUCUUUACAGAUCUGGAUGUGCGAAAGGCCCCUGGGUAUAAACCACACCUCUGUAGCCCCCUUGCAUCUGGGCUACCAUGUGACUUAUUUCGCAGUUAGGGUGAGCUGGAAGUGAAAUUGUCAGUUUCUUGCCUAAACCUUAGACCUGUGAGCUUUUGUUCAUGUUUUCUUGAUGCUUCAAGCCACCAUGAAUAGUCUAGCUAUCAUUCUGGUGGGACCCACAGGAAGACGGAGCACGGGGGAAGACAGACAAGAAAGACAGAAGCUCAGCAUCCUAGUGACCAGCUGAGUCCAGCCCAGAAGUAGCCACCAGCAUGACCCUGAAAUGGUCUACCUUGCCCCUCCCUGAUUUUUGGUUUCCUGGUCACCAGGAGAUGACUCACCUUGCUCCACCAUGUGCUUCCUACCAUGUUGUUCUGGCUCACCCCAGGUCCAGAACCAUAGAGCCAAGGGACUACGGACUGAAACCUUCCCUCCUUUAAGCUGAUGUUCUCAGGACCUUGUGGUAAAGGAACACGAUCUCAUGAUGACAGGCCUUUGGAAUUCCUUCUGAUUUCCUUUGAGGCCUAAGAAGUGGUCAAGUGUGUAAACAUUCUGGACGUGCUUAUAAAGACCGUGCUGUCAGGGCGGGGGUGGGGCUCCGUGGUAGAGCAUGUGUGGAGAGCCUGGGUUUAAGCCCAGGACCAAAGAGACAAAAAAGGAAAAAAUAAAGCCUGUUUGUCAAUUUGU
This is a long non-coding RNA of Chinchilla lanigera (long-tailed chinchilla), 800 nucleotides long. RefSeq lists it as uncharacterized. Lineage: Eukaryota; Metazoa; Chordata; Mammalia; Rodentia; Chinchillidae. The record is from RefSeq and is a predicted model, not a curated record. The transcript has 2 exons.